Molecule: long non-coding RNA, 3432 nt
Organism: Equus caballus (horse)
Lineage: Eukaryota; Metazoa; Chordata; Mammalia; Perissodactyla; Equidae
Source: Ensembl
CUGCCACAUGGUAAAUACUCAAAAAAAAAGGUUAGCUACCAUUCUUCUUCUUCUUUUUUUUUUUUUGAGGAAUAUUGGCCCUGAGCUAACAUCCACUGCCAAUCCUCCUGUUUUUGCUGAGGAAGACUGGCCCUGAGCUAACAUCCAUGCCCAGCUUCCUCUACUUUAUAUGUGGGACACCUACCACAGCAUGGCGUGCCAAGCGGUGCAUAGGUCUGUACCUGGGGUCCGAACUGGCGAACCCUGGGCUGCUGAGAAGUGGAACGUGUGCACUUAACCGCUGUGCCACCAGGCCGGCCCCACCAUUAUUAUUCUUAAUGUCAUUAACAUCAUCUUCAUCAUGAUCUUUAUUAGAAAUUGCUACUACAAAGAGAGUGCUUAGGAAUAUAAUGGGAUUGCCAUCCCGAAUGGGCCCCAUUCUGAGCAUUGGAACAGCACAGCCAUUAAAUGGUCACCAAUGGUUUCCCUAUUGUGCCUCAGCUGUCAGCCCUGCUCGCACAGUGUUCAUGAGAAGCUGGAUAAAAGCACUUCCUGGGACAGGUGACUUUCCUGGUCCCUUGCUACAAAAAGUGUGCUCUGUGGACCAGCUGCAUCAGCGUCUCCUGAAAGCUCAUUAGGAAAUCGGCUUUGGGGCAACAGCCCCACUUUGGACUCAGCACUUAGAGCGUGUGUGUUGGAGGGAAUGUGAAAGGAGUUGUUAUAUUUGCUCCCAGUUUAAUUUUUAAGCAAAUGUUAAAGAUAUUAAGUUCCCCUUAAAAGAUGCCAGCCUCCCUGCCUCAGCCAAACACUCUCAUGAAUUUGACAUAUUUUAGGUGCUUUUGGGAAGUGAAUGUAUAAUCAAGUAUAUUUUUCUAAUGGUACGUGAUGAGCCAAAGUAAAAUGAAUAUCUUAGUAGAGAGGAAGCUCUACUUUAAUUUAGAUGAACCACAAAAGCAUCUCUGUAUUGCAGUCUUCAGAAAAUCAACUUAACAUCUAUUCAGAACUUAGCACAGGGUCUGAUGAAGAGUAGAUGCCCCAAAUAUAACUGAUAGAUUGAUUAAAAAGCUAUAGGGUAUCCUGGCUUCUAAGGGAUUAAAUCUAGACAAUUUGUUCUGGAAUCCUACACCUACCGCAAUCUGGUUCUACUUUAGAUAGGAUGUACAUACAACAGAAAAAUACUAAAGAGCUGUGCCUUAAAAUUCUCUCUCAUGUGAAACAAGUCUAAAGAUAAACAGUCUCAAGCUAGUAUGCAGCUUCCAGCAUUAUUAAUGACCCAAUCUCCUCCUUUUCUUUUCUACAACCUUUAACACAUGAUACCCAUUCUCAAGUCGCUUCCUGGUCUAAGAUGGCUGCUAGAGCUCCAGCCAUCCCAUUUGCAUUCCAAGUAUCUGGAAGAAAGGGGGAAUAUAAACAUGCACCUUCCCAGAGUCCCCCAGAACAUUUCUGCUUAUAUUUCUUUGGCCAGAACUCACCCACAUGUCACACUUAACUGCAAAGUAGGUUGGAAAUUGUAAUCUUAAUUCUGAGCAGCAGGAAGCUCAGCUAAAACUCAGCGUUAGGUUACUAAGGAGGAAGAGACAACAAGAUAUUGGGAUAGGCAAUUAGCAGUGUCUGCCAAAACCUCAAAACCUGCUUCCAGCUGAAUCCACUGUCUACUUGCUUUCAUUGGUCCUGUCUUUCAGAGGCUCAUCUGUUCCUUGUCUCCCAACAUGGCACUCGUGUGCCCUUGCUCAUAUGUCUUCUGGCUUGGGGUACCUCCCAGUUCUUCUUCACAGCGCUGAGGCCUCUUCCUUCAAGACUCCAGUCAGGGAGGGGCCGGCCCGAUGGUGCAGUGGUUAAGUGCAGGCGUUCCACUGCAGCCGCCUGGGGUCUGCCAGUUCAGAUCCCAGGUGCGGACAUGGCACUGCUUGGCAAGCCAUGCUGUGGUACACCCCAGGUCCCUUAGCACUGCACCACACCACCAUGUUGGAGCAUCUUGGUUUCCCACUCUGAAGAAAUCUGAGAUGAUUGAUCAUUCUCUUGGAUCCAUCGCUCUCUUCACUAGCCUUGCCCCCUUGUCAGCAGCCCAGACUCAGACUCCAAUGAACCCAGGACGGAAAGGUCUGAGAAAUUUACAUGCUAAACUAAUCCAAACUUCUGAAGUCCUUAAUUUAGAAACAGUGACCCCAGAUCUUGGCUUAGCCUCCCUUGCCAGCCUGCAGCCUGGCCUCUGCAGAGCAUUCCCAAAGUCUAAGCAAAGAAGCCAUUUCCAUUGCCGCGCCAUGUGUACAGUUCAGCACUUGCUGUUGUUUUGUUUUCUUUGCUCAGGUCCAGUCCAUGGGCUAAAUAGAGAGGUGACAUCAAACAGUUGGGCAGACAGCUGUCGGAAGCCACCUCUGUGCACUCUGGGAAAGCAGUUGGUCCUCCUCCAGUAACACUCAGGAGCGAGCUCGCCCUGAAAGGUCAUUGGCUACAAAAUAGUAAGCUUGCUCUGAGGCGCCUGAGCCGAGACAGUUGCUUGGCGUCCCGCUAAUGCUGGUUUUACUCAAGAGCUGAUUGUUUUUUGAGGUAACCAUGGAUUAUUAUGACGACCAACGUUUGCUAUUUGUUGAGUGUCCAUGGUGUAAACAGAAAGGGGAACGUGUCCGUCUUCAGGAAGAAGCUAGCAAACACACUGCAUGUGGGCUGGGAAGGGGAUACGGAUGGUCCCACAACAGCCCUUGGCGGCCUCGCAUGUCACACAAACCCACUCCUCAUUCCUCACAUGGGUCAGGGAGGCGCUGGGACCUUCAAGGGCAGAGAGCGGGCCACGCGGGCUUAAAUCACUGCCAAGAUGGAAAACUCCCUUACAGUAAACGCAUGUAACUACAGACAAUGAACAUUCCAAAAAACGAUGCUCCUUCCAAAAGACUCCAAAAAAUCACUCCAGCCAGACUCUUCAUAGCACCAUGGAGUUUCCCGAAAAGCAGAAGGAACUCUAAUUAGUCUUCUCAUCCAGUCUCUCUGUCCUCUGCACGACAUUCCUGUCAGACAAAUUUUAGCACCUGCUGGAACCGUCCCAAGGGCUGGGAUCCCUCAAUUCUGAGAGGCAGGUUUAUGAGCAAUGCCCUGCUUUGGUUCUGUCACUGUUCAAUAGGAAAUCUUAGAGCGGUAAGGACACAGACUAGAGCAAGAAAGAGAAGUAAGAAAGAAUCAAAUUCAGCAGGGUCUUGUAACUUAAACAAUACCAUAAACAAAGUAAAAAAUAAUAAUAAACUGGUAAAAAAAAUUUGCAAUACAUAGAAGAAUGAGGAUAAUUUCCCUAAUACACAAAAGCAUAUAUAUACAGCAAUUUGAAAAAAAUCCAAUUAAUAUAAAUAAGAAAAGGCUAUGAAUAGGCAGUUCAAAGGAAAAAAUAAUCAACAGAUAAAUGAAGAGUUUGUAUCUCAUACAUAAAGAAAUGCAAAUUCAAACAAUAAAAUGCUGUUUUUCACC